This 270-nucleotide ribosomal RNA is filed under the name Salmonella enterica. Its description in RNAcentral is "partial 16S ribosomal RNA". It matches the Rfam family "Bacterial small subunit ribosomal RNA", at positions 870 to 1140 of the family's 1533-position model. The record is from RNAcentral. Lineage: Bacteria; Pseudomonadati; Pseudomonadota; Gammaproteobacteria; Enterobacterales; Enterobacteriaceae. RNAcentral also lists the same sequence under 1 other name.
CGCCUGGGGAGUACGGCCGCAAGGUUAAAACUCAAAUGAAUUGACGGGGGCCCGCACAAGCGGUGGAGCAUGUGGUUUAAUUCGAUGCAACGCGAAGAACCUUACCUGGUCUUGACAUCCACGGAAGAAUUCAGAGAUGGAUUUGUGCCUUCGGGAACCGUGAGACAGGUGCUGCAUGGCUGUCGUCAGCUCGUGUUGUGAAAUGUUGGGUUAAGUCCCGCAACGAGCGCAACCCUUAUCCUUUGUUGCCAGCGGUCCGGCCGGGAACUC